Molecule: non-coding RNA, 8840 nt
Organism: Zonotrichia albicollis (white-throated sparrow)
Lineage: Eukaryota; Metazoa; Chordata; Aves; Passeriformes; Passerellidae
Source: RefSeq, a predicted model, not a curated record
UACAGCGAGGACAUGGAGCGCUGGAGGCGCUGGAGCUAGCUGCCCACAGGAGUCGUGGAAGCGCCGUCCCUAGAGGUGUUGAAAACACGCGUGGAUGUGGCACUUUGGGACAUGGUUUAGUGGUGGACUUGGCAGUGCUGGAUUAAUGUUUGAACUCAAUGAUCUGAGAGAUCUUUUCCAACCUUAAUACCUCUACGGUUGAAAGUGUGGUUCUUCCCUGUUUGAAGCACAGUUCCACAAUUGUGCUUCACUCUGUCCAUAGCUAGAAAAGCCUGGUGGAAAGAAAUGCUUAACCAUGAAGCUCCUUUUAUACACGUGUCUUCAUUUCCUCCCUUGAGCACUGAUGCUUUUGCACACCCACUGGGGGUUUCCACACCAAAAACUUGAACUAACAUCUCAAAAAGCAUCUAAUCUUGAACUAACAUCUCAAGAAGCAGUCUUGUGUCGGUAAAUAUUAGUUUCUUUCUCCUCUGCCUAAGGAACCUAGUCCAUACCAACAGUGAAACGAUAUUGUCCUGCUUCCUUGGAGGAGGGGGUUGAGCCAUGGUCCCUCCGUCUGCCUGGGACAGUGUCGUUUCCCUGCCUGCUGGGGCUGCGUUCCGUGGAGCGGCAUGAAAGGGCUCCUGGGCAGCUGCUCUGGGCGAGUGGGCGGUACCUCCUUCGGUAAUAACAGCUAAUUUAUACAGCCACGAACAUCUACGGCUAUAAAUAAACAGUUCUGACUGGCUUCGCACGCUUAAAAUGAAAUGGGAGAGACUGAUGGACUGGAAAGAGAAAUCUGGUGUAAAUGUCGUCAAGGCCAGAUCCUUACACAGGGUGUCUCCGUAAGGCCUUUUGAAAAAUCACGGGGAAAAUGUUGGUUUGUGAGCAAUGACACAUUUUCCUCCUUUCAGAACUUUGUGAAUAUGAGAGAAAGGAACAAAGCAAAUCCAAGAUCCCAGCAGCUGUAUUUUGGGGACAGGCAUUCCUCAUUGAUUUCUCAAAGUGCAUGACUGGAAUCCAGCUUCUCUCCAUGCAGGAUGUAGCAGAAAGAAGUGCCUCUUCUGAGCCUUUUUCAAAGAAAUAAACAACCUCCCCUGUGAUUCUCCUCAAAGCCCUGUAGUCCAGCAGCUCAGCCACCACAUCAGAUCCCAAAGGAUCAUUUCCACUGCAUCCUCUGUCUUAUUGUGAUUGGGAAGGAGAGGAAAGGGUAGGAUGAAAAAAAGUACACGGAGCCAUUUUUGCUGUGGGAACAAAGAUUUUCACUCACUGGGCUGAAGAUGGUGUCUAGAUGAGAGUGAGAAUUGGUACAGCUUAGCCACAACAGAGCAAAGUGCAAAGGAGCUUCAGAAGCUCAGGCAAUGGGGAAUUUGUUGUCAUCUUUGCUGAAAGUCUGCCAGAAAACCUUGCUGGGAGCAUAUUUUCCCUUGCCUUGGCCAUACUGAUGCAAGCUGGGUGCCACAGUGCAGAGGUCCAGGUCUAAUGCAAGUGCUUGCUAUAAUCUCCUCCUGACGGUGGUCAUGAAUCAUUCUUGAAUAAGUCUUCCACAGAAAUGGCUUUGACAUUCUGUUGAGUCAUCUGUGCAGUCUGGGAGGGUUUGCUGUGUGCUGGCUCCACACCUGCAUUUUCCAGAACAAGCCAGUGGGAAAUGGCCCGUGUAGUCACUCGUGGUGUCCUGCACUGCACUGCAGUACCAUGCACCAUUCUUGGUCAUCCCCCAUCUCUUUCCAAAGAAUGAGCUCAGUUAUCUCAAACCACUGAAGAAGGCACUCUGAACUAGCCCAUGUGCAGUGGAGCAGCUCAAGGAGUGUCCACACAACCCCUUCUGCUGGCACAGAAGGAGCUGUGCACUUCAGGUGGAACUCGGACGCACAUAAUCACAGCUGGAAAAAUAUCACAAGAAGAAGACAUUUAUCCACAGCCUGGAAAUCCAUCUGACUUCAACAUGGUCCAUUUGAGGUAAUGGUAGCACAUGGACAGGAUUUUAAAUAUUCAAAAAUUCCAACAUAAACUAAAUUAAAACCUAAUUACACAAACUUGCAAUGAAGAAGGAAGAAUAAACAUAAUAACUGAACUCUAUUAAGGGAUUUGCAUUUGUAUGGGAACAUUUGCAAAACUAAAUGUUUUAAAAAUUGUUUCAGACAAUUUGGCCAGGAAUAAUUAUCAAAUAAAAUCAGACUGUAAACACAGAGAAAACCAAAUUAGGCUGAGACAUGAGGUAAAGAUAUUAAUAAGAAUCAUUGUUUCAUAUUUUGUACACUUUUUUUCAACAGCCCUGAAAUGUCUUACUGCAGGAUAAUUAGAAUAUAAUCUUGUUCCAGGAAAUCCAGCACUUGCAAGCCCAGCCCUGUGUGUGUUUGCAUUCAAGUCUAUCUGCACACUGCUUGGAAUAACCUGACUGAUGUGCCAGAUACUCACUAGUAUCUACUAGAGAGCAGAGACAAGGCAAGCAGCACUAAUUUUUCAGUUGAUUUUUAACUUAGGAAGGAGUACAGGUGCCACUAAAGACCAUAAAAAAUAGAGAGGAUCUUGGAGAAGUUAUUAUCCUUAUGGAACGGAAAGAUCAAAGGGAGAAUCAAUUUGGGGAAAACAGUCUAAAAGUGAGCACAACAGGUAGUGGUAAAAGUACAAAUCAGUAAAGCAAAUUAAAAAAAAAAAAAGAAAGGAUGUGGAAGGAUGUUGGAAGUGCAAGAACAAUUCUUUCCAGGUUUAUAAUGAUUUGUAGACAAGCAAACUAGGAAGCCCUUGAAUAGAUUUUAAAGUAGCCUGGAUGCAAAUUGGAAUGCAGGCCGUAUUAUCUGGAGCUUGAAACUUUUGCCUUAAAGUACUUGCAAUCCUUUUAUUGCAUCUGUGUCUUUCUUUAACUUCCUAAUCUUUUGCUUCCUUUGUGACAUCAGAUAGAUUUUUAGAGUUAAGGUCUAUUCCAAGCCUUGGAGGUUCUAAAAUCAGAAGCCAGAUGUUUGGAAAUGGAGAAGGGGCUUAAGAAACAGAGAAUUAACAUAGUGACAUAUAGGUCGUGUGUGUAUAAAUAUAUAUGUAUAUAUGUGUGUGUAUGUUUUGCAGUUUCUUUUGCUCAUUCUCUCCAUCAGAGUCCCAAAAACACUUAACAGUUCUCAAUAAACCUGGCCAGCCCCAGCUGAGACCUCCACCCAACCACUUUAAAAGGGAGCAGAGCCCUUUUUAGUUCAGCUGAGGACUGUCAGCCUCUGCUUGAGCUGUUGGGGGUAUCAGCCUUUCUAGGGCUUGCUAUGGAGACCUUUUCUCUGGAACUCAUUGUCUGGACUGGUUUCCCAGCCUAAACUGGGCACUGUCUCAUCAUCAUGGCCCUACCGUCACUGGACCUGACUUACGAACUGGCUUCCUGGUUCUGCCUUCCUGGUUUGAUCUUGAAUCUGCCCUGCCAGCAUGCUUUUCCCUUAUGGUCUGGACUCUCAGUUGCUAUCUCUGAGCCCAUCCUGCUUGGCUCCUUUGAGGCUGAGGGGAAGGCUGUGGGGUCAGCUCAGUUCCUGGCUUGCCAUCCCUUGGAGAAAAGACCUGGAUUUGCUGCUCUCCUGGUUUCGUCAAGCAUGUGUGUGAGUGCACAGAGGUGAGGUGCUGUGCUGUCACAGUGACAGAAGGUGGUGGCUCCUACCCACUCUACAGAAGUGCUGUAACUGAAGCCAUCUUUUUGCCUAAGGAGAAAGGAGCUGUUGUUAACAGUCUACUCUUCCCCUGGAAGCAGGAAAGCAGCAGAAUAUACAGCAGAAGGCAGUGAUAUGGAAUAGAAGUCUCUGGCAGCAUUGCUACAUUAUCUGCACCACGGGAGGAAAAUCUAGAUAAUGGUUUUAUUUUCAGAUGUGAAGAUCUGUGGUUCAGAUUUAGCUAGAGGACUUUGCCCACAAAUAUAGAUAAUCCUUUAUUCAAUGUUUCACUUCACUGCAAAGCCUUGCUUGCCUAGGUAAGAAAUGUGCACUGGCAUGCCUCUUGUGUUUCUGGAGCUCAGUGUUCAGGUCACACUCGGUACUUCUUAUCUCUCAGACUGAUCCACGUGUGUUUUACAGGGCAAGGGGACUGGGGUUCUGCAGUAAGCUUCCAGAAUCACCUUUUGAUCACUUUUUGUCACUGCAUUCAACCAACUCCACAAUAUCAAGGAAUGGUUUGGCCUCAGUAGUAACAGAGCAGGGCAGCAGGCCCCAGAUUUGAAAACAAGAAGCCACUAUUUGUAUUUCCAUGACUUCUCUGUGCUUCUACUGGGAGAUGCUUAACAGGUAUCCACCAAAUGGUCAGCCCAGAGGGAGGAUGAUAGAGAAAUGAGUGAAGGAAGCUUCAAUCCUUCCUUUCCUAACCUGCAACUUCUCAAGAUACAUCCAGAUUGAGAAAAAAAAAAGAUGGAACACAGUGUCUCCUCACACAGUCUGGGUAGGAAAAAGGUGCUUUGAAACUGGGAGAGAGGUAGUGUGGAGAACAACUGCAUAAAGAGACAAAACACAGCAGGAAGACAGGCUCUGGGAAUUGGAGUAGAGAAUGAAGAAGUUAAAAAGAAUGUGUAGUGGAAAGGGUAUAUUAAAAAGUUUGCAUGCAGCCUGUGGGACAAAAAGGGGAGAUACAAAGGUAGGUGCCAUGACUUUGGCCUCCAUAAACCAGACUGAAUUAUCCUGUUUACUUUAUCCUGCAGUCCCUAGCAUUGGAGUGAAGUGUUUCUGCAUCUCUUGGUUUGUGUGAAUAAUAUGUUCUUGGCAUCAGCUUUGGUUUUAAUGUGAUUGGUUUUUAAACAUAAUUAGAAGUGUUUUUACAGCUUUGUGUAUUUCUGUUUAAGAGACAACAAAAAGUAAUGCACCGAUAUGUUUUUUUAGCAGAGAAAGAUCUCUAAAACAUUACACCAGAAUGGCACUACUGUCUUGAUAAUAAGAACAUGCAUGGUGGAUCAUUGCAGAAUUGGUUUUGAAUGUUUGCCAGCAAAGCCUCUGACUCAACAGAAAGCACAACCUGUGGUUUGUUAGCCCCAUUGACCUCGGUGCCUCAUUGUGCAAGCUGUUCACAGAAUCAGAUACCCCAAAAUGGAACUUUAGGUGGGGGAGGAGCAGUUCAGUAAUGUUUCAAUUUUGAACUUUCUUGAUUUAGUAAAAUUCACUUUCCUUUUUCAUUUGAGUUUACUGUGGAGGCUACAGUAAGAUCAUCAGGGACUCCAGGAAUGCAUGGUCCCCCUAAGCCAAGGAGAUAGUACACAUGCUGAAAUGAUGCCUGUAAAACUUGAUACAAGAACCCCUUAAGCACAUGCUCUGGUUUUCUGAGAGUGCAUUAGUGGGAUUUAACAGACACACAAAUUCUUUCCUGAAGAUAGGCACAGGAAAAAUUACUCCACAAAGGAAAUGCCUCUCCUUAGAGGGACUCACAGCUGUGCUGUGCACUCUUCCCCCUCACUGCACUCUGGUGCCUGAAGCCUUUGGGGAGCUGAGCUGUUCUUCACAGGCUUGUCUCCUAUCUGUGUCCAGCAUCUGCCUCAUGUGGCUUGGUUUUCUUUAUCUCAACUGGCCUGGCCUCCAAACUGGAUUUCUUCUGGACAUGUAGAAAAACCCAGUAUUUUUAAGAAGUGAGUGCACACCAUUUUUGGGGUUUAUGGGCUGACUGGCGGCUCCUCCUGUAGCAUUUAUAUGGCAAUAAUAUAAUCUAAGUAUUUUGAAGGAACCUUAACAAUUUAAGCCACUGGAGUAUUCAAUAUCUUAACUUCUGCUUUUUCUUGUGUUUCCAUGAGCUUAUCUGCAAGCUUAACAGUGCAUCAGUGUCAGAUUCUACUUUCCACAAAUGUACUCACAUUUAAUUCACCAGAAUGGUUGUUCCACAGUUUGGUCAAAAUAAUAUAUAAACCACAUUUUUGUGACUUAAAAAAGGCCUUACCACUUGCUAUAAAGACAAGGCUGGGGAAUGAUUCACCUCUGAAGGAAAUAGUGUGCUGUUUCUGUUGUACCACUUUUUAAGCCAACAGACAAACAGCUUUGAGACCUGCUGCUGCACCCUAGAACAUGUUUUGAUGUUGCCUUUCAAGUGUUUAAACAGAAGAUAGAGUCAGUUGUGAAAUGUCUUACUCCUUUUUGAUGAAAAGGAGCUUCAACUGGAAUGUGAUGAAGCCAUGGCACAGCUUUCUGGAAGGGGUGCAAUGUGCAGCUGGAGCUGAAGAAGUCGAUGUGGAGGCUGCCAAGCCAGACUGGAGCAACAGCUCGGGUCAGGGGCAAACAGGAGUGGGUGUUGCAGCCAUCAGCUGCCAUCAGCUAAUCCAUGAAAAACCAAGCCCCAAUUAUUUCUGUCCUUACUGCAGUGAGAAGCCAGCCUUGACCCAUGCUUCUUAUUCAUAUCACUGUAGUUCUCCUUCAUCUGUCUUUCCUCUGUCUUGUACGCUACGUGGGUAAUUGUUUAUCCGUGUGUGAAAAUGGGUAAAGGAUGCAGUCAUACUGCUGUGAUAGGACUUUUGGAUAAUGAGAUCCAUGGCUUUUACAGUGUUGGCCUUGUGAAAUUUUGGGACAGCUGCAAGAUUCCAAGUGCUGUGUUUUCAACUUGCAUUUGUUUCCUACAGUGUGUUUUUAAAAUUUUCUACACUCCUCAGCACUGGAGCUUGACCUUCUUAGCCUUACACGAAAAAGAUUUAUAAAAUCACUGGCCACAACUAGAGAAAAUUGUUUUUCAGAAGACCCUGUAAACAGGGAAAUUACAUAGAACCACAAUAAUUCAAAGCAAAGCCAUAUGUUUAAUUAUUGUUGUAGCCAUUUGAAUUUAAGGAUGACUGAACAUCUUUAAAUGAUAGAGCAUGUCUUACAAAGGUGAGCUGUGUGGUUUGUGAUGCACUGCUGCAAAUAUUCUGUGUACUAUUUGAAUGCCACUUCACAGUUCUGAGGAACAUAAAGGCUAAAGGAACUUGAAGAUUUGUUGUUGAUCUGUACCUAGUGAUCUGCAAUAUGCCUACAAAGUAAACAUUCCAGUCAUCAAAUAAAUUUUAAUAUAUUUGAGAAUUUUCAAUAGAAUGGGGAUUAUUUUCUCCUUUGUGGAUUUCUUCUCUUCAUAUCUGUACUGGGAAGGAGGCAAGGAAAAACAUUUCCACAAAAAAUAACUCUGUUUUGCUUAUUUCCUUUUAACCCUGCAACCUUUGAGCUGCUAAGCUAACUUAACAUGCUCAAAAAGUGAUAUUUAAAAGAACUCUCCCACACAUGUCUGUGGCAAACAAUACUAGAGGGCCACUGAAUGGCAAAAAUACUUGGGGAAGAAAGCAUGGGUUGGAAUGCUUUUUAAUCAUUCAGAUAUGUUAAAAUGUUUGUGGUCAAACCUAGAGAAAAAGCAUACCACUGGAGGCAUCUUGGCAAGGUGCACUUGUGUUAAGUGCCUCAUAUGUCUCCUGUUUCUUUAACUGAUAAAAUAAAAGGCUUAGGAAAAAAUGCUGGCAAGCCACACCAUAUUUAAAUGAACAGUUCAGAACCCAGAGCUACUGAGAAAGAAAGAUCAGAGUGAACUGGUGGGGCGAGGUAGAAAGGAGAUGCAGUGGAAAAUAUGAGCAACUUCAUGAAAAAGUUCAGAAACCUGUCUAACUAAGAAGCAAAAAUACCAGGGUGAAAGGGAGUAAAAGGGCUGUGAAAGGGCAGAGCCUGGUGACCUAUAGAGAAGCAGCUCUUUAUGAGAAGACAGAAGCAACAAUGGAAAGCCAAAAGCUCUGGGACUUGCUUUUCAUGGGUACAUCUACACUAACUUCAGAGCACCGGCCCAAGCUCAAACUUGCCUCAUGUUUGGACACAAGACUCUGCUCAGGGCCUUGGGUGAGCUCCAUCUCUGGGAGGAGGUGGGGAGUCUGUGCUGGCCCAGCCCUUUAUAUAACCCAAAUGAUAUCAUACCAUGCACUUCAGAUGAGCCUUUGCCUUCUCCCAAAUCCUCCAUUCCAGAGCUCAUAAUUCUGUGUGGCAAUUAUCUCCCUCCUAUAAGCGCUUCAUGUCACAUCCCACAAAACCCUGCUGGAUGUGUGGUGUGCUGAGUACGAGGCAUUCACACCUUGCCAGUGGUCCAGCCUGCUCCUUAUCCUGCUAAGGGCAGGUCAGCAGCAGGGCCAUACCAUCUGCCCACCACUGGGGCUUCCUCUUGGACAAAAAGUGGUUCAACCAGUACAAUUUUAAUAAUUUUUUGUUUUCCUCCUUAGACUUUGGCAUGCCAUCAUAAAUGGCUUGGCCAGACAGGAAGUGAGGCCAGCCAGGGAAGUGCUGCGGGUGCCUCCCUGUCUCUUGGCCUGUGCAGAUGUCUCUGCAGGGAGGAUGCUGCAUGAGGUGUGGGCCCGGCACUGGUGUCACCAGGGCUGGCAGUACUGAAGGACAGCUCACAGGGACUCUGUCAGAAGGUGUUCUUCUCUUUGGCUCCUUUGCUCUGUGGCUGGUCUCUUGCCUGAUCUCUGUCCUGUGACCAGUCACAUGAGGCCUCAUGUGCUGGGAGGAAAGAAGGCUGAUGUGAGGCUGUGGUGGUGGUGGUAAAAGUAGGGUUAAAUUAGGAUUUCUUCCCCUGCCUCCAUGAGCUGUCCUGUGAUUACCCCUGGGGAAGUACCCCAGCAGCUGGGACUCUUCCAAAGAGGGAGAAGGACAAAAAGUCACCAAAAGAGAUUUUAGCAUGGCCUCUUAAACACAGGUAUUCUUGUCUGAGAUGCUCUGAUAUAAUUAAGAUGAACAUGGUAUAAAUAAGUAGAUAUGGUAUCAGUGAUGUUGAAGUUCAUUGAAAUGUUUGGUUAAUAAUACCUGGAAAAAAGGUGAAGCUCUGUCAGUGAACUGUGCCCUAUAUCAGGUGAUUAACCUGAAGCUGGACAGAUUUGUACCUUUUCCUGGCCACAUGACUACCAGUACCAGGUACCACCACACAGAGUUGCA